UACGUAGGGUGCGAGCGUUGUCCGGAAUUAUUGGGCGUAAAGAGCUCGUAGGCGGUUUGUCACGUCUGCUGUGAAAUCCCGAGGCUCAACCUCGGGCCUGCAGUGGGUACGGGCAGACUGGAGUGCGGUAGGGGAGAAUGGAAUUCCUGGUGUAGCGGUGGAAUGCGCAGAUAUCAGGAGGAAUACCGGUGGCGAAGGCGGCAUCCUGGACCGACAUUGACGCUGAGGAGCGAAAGCUAGGGGAGCAAACGGG
Molecule: ribosomal RNA, 253 nt
Filed under: uncultured bacterium
Lineage: Bacteria
Description: partial 16S ribosomal RNA
Rfam family: Bacterial small subunit ribosomal RNA
Source: RNAcentral